CAAUAGCGUAUAUUAAAGUUGUUGCAGUUAAAAAGCUCGUAGUUGGAUUUCUGUCCAAGCAGAGUGUCCUGCCUAUGGUUUGUGUCACUUUUGUUUGGGCAUUUCCCACGGUCUAUAUGAACUUUGCUGUUUAUAUGGGGUGUGGGGCCUUUACUUUGAGAAAAUUAGAGUGUUUCAAGCAAGCGAUUGCUUUGAAUACUGCAGCAUGGAAUAAUAUCAUAGGACUUCGGUUCUAUAUAUUGGUUCUAGAACCGCAGUAAUGAUUAAUAGGGACAGUUGGGGGCACUCGUAUUUAACUGUCAGAGGUGAAAUUCUUGGAUUUGUUAAAGACGAACUACUGCGAAAGCAUUUGCCAAGGAUGUUUUCAUUA
RNAcentral lists this ribosomal RNA (370 nucleotides) under uncultured eukaryote. RNAcentral's name for it is "partial 18S ribosomal RNA". It matches the Rfam family "Eukaryotic small subunit ribosomal RNA", at positions 592 to 975 of the family's 1831-position model. The record is from RNAcentral.